UUUAAAUUGAGAGUUUGAUCCUGGCUCAGGAUGAACGCUGGUGGCGUGCCUAAUACAUGCAAGUCGUACGCUAGCCGCUGAAUUGAUCCUUCGGGUGAAGUGAGGCAAUGACUAGAGUGGCGAACUGGUGAGUAACACGUAAGAAACCUGCCCUUUAGUGGGGGAUAACAUUUGGAAACAGAUGCUAAUACCGCGUAACAACAAAUCACACAUGUGAUCUGUUUGAAAGGUCCUUUUGGAUCGCU
Molecule: ribosomal RNA, 245 nt
Filed under: Oenococcus oeni
Lineage: Bacteria; Bacillati; Bacillota; Bacilli; Lactobacillales; Lactobacillaceae
Description: partial 16S ribosomal RNA
Rfam family: Bacterial small subunit ribosomal RNA
Source: RNAcentral